AGAUGUAAGGGGAGACUGGCUGACAUAUUUGUCACCCCAUUGAUUGCUAGGGUUGACUCAGCUAAUCUGGCUGGCUAGGCCUGUGUCCACUUCCUCCCUCACCACUCCAUGUGUGUCCCUCCCAAAGCUGUGUGCCUGGACGGAAGAUGACCUUCCUUGAAUAGAUGAGGACAGGUCUUCAGUCAAGGGUAUUCAAUAGCUGUGCUCCUCUGCUAGGGCCUCCAAAUAAGCUCUCAAGAAUGGUGAGAAAAUUCUGAAAGUACUACUCCAGAGUGGGCUUUUCUACACCUUGGUUUCUUGUGUGUGUGUGCACAUGUGAGUAUGUGG
Molecule: unclassified non-coding RNA, 327 nt
Organism: Mesocricetus auratus (golden hamster)
Lineage: Eukaryota; Metazoa; Chordata; Mammalia; Rodentia; Cricetidae
Gene: 7SK
Rfam family: 7SK RNA
About the family: 7SK was discovered as an abundant small nuclear RNA in the mid-70s but a possible function has only recently been suggested.
Source: Ensembl